This 467-nucleotide ribosomal RNA is filed under the name uncultured bacterium. Its description in RNAcentral is "partial 16S ribosomal RNA". It matches the Rfam family "Bacterial small subunit ribosomal RNA", at positions 28 to 507 of the family's 1533-position model. The record is from RNAcentral.
GACGAACGCUGGCGGCGUGCUUAACACAUGCAAGUCGAACGGAAAGGCCUCUUUCGGGGGGUACUCGAGUGGCGAACGGGUGAGUAACACGUGAGUAACCUGCCCUUGACUUUGGGAUAACUUCAGGAAACUGGGGCUAAUACCGGAUAGGAGCUCCUGCUGCAUGGUGGGGGUUGGAAAGUUUCGGCGGUUGGGGAUGGACUCGCGGCUUAUCAGCUUGUUGGUGGGGUAGUGGCUUACCAAGGCUUUGACGGGUAGCCGGCCUGAGAGGGUGACCGGCCACAUUGGGACUGAGAUACGGCCCAGACUCCGACGGGAGGCAGCAGUGGGGAAGAUUGCACAAUGGGUGGAAGCCUGAUGCAGCAACGCCGUGUGCGGGAUGACGGCCUUCGGGUUGUAAACCGCUUUCGCUCAUGACGAAGCUUUGUGUGACGGUAGUGGGUAAAGAAGCACCGGCUAACUACGUG